UAGGGAAUCUUCCACAAUGGACGCAAGUCUGAUGGAGCAACGCCGCGUGAGUGAAGAAGGNCUUCGGNUCGUAAAGCUCUGUUGUUGGUGAAGAAGGAUAGAGGCAGUAACUGGUCUUUAUUUGACGGUAAUCAACCAGAAAGUCACGGCUAACUACGUGCCAGCAGCCGCGGUAAUACGUAGGUGGCAAGCGUUGUCCGGAUUUAUUGGGCGUAAAGCGAGCGCGGCGGAAUGAUAAGUCNGAUGUGAAAGCCCACGGCUCACGUGGAACUGCAUCGGAAACUGUCAUUCUUGAGUGCAGA
This 302-nucleotide ribosomal RNA is filed under the name uncultured bacterium. RNAcentral describes it as "partial 16S ribosomal RNA". It matches the Rfam family "Bacterial small subunit ribosomal RNA", at positions 355 to 652 of the family's 1533-position model. The record is from RNAcentral.